CCUACGGGAGGCAGCAGUGGGGAAUAUUGGGCAAUGGAGGAAACUCUGACCCAGCGACGCCGCGUGCGGGAUGAAGGCCUUCGGGUUGUAAACCGCUUUCAGCAGGGAAGAAGCGAAAGUGACGGUACCUGCAGAAGAAGCACCGGCUAACUAUGUGCCAGCAGCCGCGGUAAUACAUAGGGUGCAAGCGUUGUCCGGAAUUAUUGGGCGUAAAGAGCUCGUAGGUGGUUCGUCACGUCGGAUGUGAAAAUCUGGGGCUUAACCCCAGACCUGCAUCCGAUACGGGCGAGCUUGAGUAUGGUAGGGGAGUCUGGAAUUCCUGGUGUAGCGGUGGAAUGCGCAGAUAUCAGGAGGAACACCAAUGGCGAAGGCAGGACUCUGGGCCAUUACUGACACUGAGGAGCGAAAGCGUGGGGAGCGAACAGGAUUAGAUACCCUGGUAGUCCACGCCGUAAACGGUGGGCACUAGUUGUGGGGACCUUCCACGGUCUCUGCGACGCAGCUAACGCAUUAAGUGCCCCGCUGGGGAGUACGAUCGCAAGNUUAAAACNCAAAGGAAUUGACGGCNGAGAGNGCGACGACGACGACGAGGGAGAGG
This 598-nucleotide ribosomal RNA is filed under the name uncultured bacterium. RNAcentral's name for it is "bacterial SSU rRNA". It matches the Rfam family "Bacterial small subunit ribosomal RNA", at positions 338 to 950 of the family's 1533-position model. The record is from RNAcentral.